This 493-nucleotide ribosomal RNA is filed under the name uncultured bacterium. RNAcentral's name for it is "partial 16S ribosomal RNA". It matches the Rfam family "Bacterial small subunit ribosomal RNA", at positions 28 to 523 of the family's 1533-position model. The record is from RNAcentral.
GAUGAACGCUGGCGGCGUGCCUAACACAUGCAAGUGGAGCGACGAACCUCCUUCGGGAGGGGCAAAGCCGCGAACGGGUGAGUAACACGUGGGUUAUCUGCCCCAAUGACCGGGACAACUCGAGGAAACUCGAGCUAAUACCGGAUGUGCUCUUCGGAGGAAAGGAAGCUUCGGCCUCCGCAUUGGGAUGAGCCCGCGGCGCAUUAGCUAGUUGGUGAGGUAACGGCUCACCAAGGCGACGAUGAGUAGCUGGACCGAGAGGACGAUCAGCCCCACCGGAACUGAGACGCUGUCCAGACUGCUACGGGAGGCAGCAGUGGGGAAUCUUGCGCAAUGCACGAAAGUGUGACGCAGGAACGCCGCGUGCGGGAAGAAGGUCUUCGGAUCGUAAACCGCUUUCAGUUGGGACGAGGGUUACACGGUGAAUAGCCGGCGUAACUGACGGUACCUUCAGAAGAAGCCCCGGCUAACUACGUGCCAGCCGCCGCCGUAA